GCAUGGUUGUUCACGGUUUUUCACCUCAUAAUUGAAUGAAAGAACACAUUUCCUUUUUCUUUUCAUUUUGGUGUAAAAGCUUUAGAUUUAUUUUGAGUUUCUUCUUGUAGUCACGGUGGGGACACUUCAUUGAAUAUAAAAAGCACAUUUUCUUUUUGUUUGGAUGCUUUAAUGCAAGUGUGUUGCCUUUCUUCCACUUUGAUUGCUUUGAUUGAGGAGAGGUAUCGUGAGUUGGUAAAGGUUAGAUGGGAUGGGUCACUUGCAUUGAUUUUCGGUAGAAUGAAGAUGGUUAACUUUUGAAUGGAUGUUUAGGAAAUGGAUUAGGAAUUUACAGUCCACAUGGUUGAAU
This 349-nucleotide long non-coding RNA is filed under the name Vigna radiata. RNAcentral describes it as "long non-coding RNA (VRAD_LNC005358)". The record is from RNAcentral. Lineage: Eukaryota; Viridiplantae; Streptophyta; Magnoliopsida; Fabales; Fabaceae.